GACGAACGCUGGCGGCGUGCUUAACACAUGCAAGUCGAGCGGUAAGGCCCUUUUGGGGGUACACGAGCGGCGAACGGGUGAGUAACACGUGGGUGACCUGCCCUCAGCUCUGGGAUAAGCCUGGGAAACUGGGUCUAAUACUGGAUAUGACCUUUCCUCGCAUGGGGUUGGGUGGAAAGUUUUUCGGCGUGGGGAGUGGGCCCGGCGGCCUACCAGCUUGUUGGUGGGGUGAUGGCCUACCAAGGCGACGACGGGUAGCCGGCCUGAGAGGGCGACCGGCC
This 281-nucleotide ribosomal RNA is filed under the name uncultured bacterium. RNAcentral's name for it is "partial 16S ribosomal RNA". It matches the Rfam family "Bacterial small subunit ribosomal RNA", at positions 28 to 309 of the family's 1533-position model. The record is from RNAcentral.